CAUGGCCAGGAACAAGAUGCUGGUCAAAGCACUUCUUCUCUCAGAGACUGUUAACAAGUGAUAAGUCAUAGUCGACUUAUUGAAGAGGCACCUCAUUGGUCUUACAUAUCGUUCAUCUUCACCACAUUGGAACUGCAGGUUAUGUCAUCCCAGAUUCCAUCUCUGCUGUGGGUCUGGAGUCACACGUAGGCCAGACCAGUUUGUUCACUCGUUUUCCCCGAAAUGUAAUCUAUACUAUUCACCUGAACCACUCCAUAUGUUAAUGAAUGCUCAACAAUGAGGCACAGAAAAGCCAGGAAAACAUGGAAAAUUCAACAAUUUUCAUCAAAAGUAACAAAGAAGCAGGAUAAAUCAAAGUUUCAAGAGGAAGUGACUGAAACAAAAGGCAGCUUGUAAAAGUGAGGAGGAGGUUUGGCACACCGGGAUGGCACCAUUCGCCACAGCAGAUUCGCCGCCGACGAUUAGCCACUGCCCAUUGUUCACCGAGGACGCUUAGCCACCGCCCAUUGGCCACUGAAGACGA
Chiloscyllium plagiosum (whitespotted bambooshark) is the source of this 523-nucleotide non-coding RNA. The record is from RefSeq and is a predicted model, not a curated record. NCBI's taxonomy places the organism in Eukaryota, Metazoa, Chordata, Chondrichthyes, Orectolobiformes, Hemiscylliidae.